AUGUACACAGUGAAUUUCACAACACCUUUAUAAGUAACAAUUAAUGUAUUAACUACUACUACUAAUAAAAUGAUCCCUGCCCGAACGCACGCGCUAUGCAGUGAAGCCGCUCCCGGUCCCUGUGCAAAUUCCUCGGGAUAUUACGCAGCAUUCCCGCUUUCCGCGCGCAGGAAAGUGGGUAUUCCCCCAAAAGCCGGAUUAUUCCAAUAAGCACAAAGCGCACGCACUGGUACAGAACCGCGCAGGGAAGAAGCAGCUCGAGCUCAGGAGUGUAAAGAGUUCGUGCUCUUACCGAUCUGUGAUCACGAUUGUCUUUACGGAGCAGCGUCCCAGAACAUCCCGAACACACCGAGGAAUGUCAGUCCGCCUCGCCUCGCCUCGCAAUCAGCCGUUCCUUGGCCGGGUGUAACAGGAUGUGUGGAGUUUCACCGUGUCUUCAUGAUGGGGAACGCGAAUGGAAAGUCGGACAGGGGCGGCUGUGGCUCAGGUGGUAGGGCGGGUUGUCCACUGACCGUAGGCUUGGCGGUCCGAUUCCCGGCCCACAUGACUCCACAUGCCGAAGUGUCCUUGGGCAAGACACUGAACCCCAAGUUGCUCCCGA
This is a long non-coding RNA of Ictalurus punctatus (channel catfish), 601 nucleotides long. The record is from Ensembl. NCBI's taxonomy places the organism in Eukaryota, Metazoa, Chordata, Actinopteri, Siluriformes, Ictaluridae.